UGAAUGCUUACGGCUGCCCGCCCUUGGAUCCGGAUGUGUUGUUGGCCGUGGUGCAGAAGGUGCGCGAAGAGAGGGCGUGCGUCACUUUGGUCGUGCCAUACUGGACGGCGCAACCUUGGUGGCAGUUGCUGAUGGAGCUGCCGGUGGACAUAGUGUUUCUCCCCUCGAACACGGAGCUGUUCGCACCGGGGGAAGGGGGGUCGAGCCGCUUCCUGCCGCCCCCGCAGUGGCAGGUGGUGNCGGUACGAGUGCAGUGAUCGACUGGGCCCUCCUGCGCGGCACACGCAGUGGUUCUGCCCCGGUUCCCCGUUAUGCAUUAGACUUUCGUGCUGCGGCUGCUCCCCCGGUUGUCACGAACCUGUUAGUGAAGCAGCUGCAGGCCGCCGCCCCAGGUCAGGACCACUCGGCUCGCCUGGAGCAGAUUGCGGCCGUCAUUGUGUCUCGAGUAGGCUCCAAGACUUGGCAAUCGUAUGCGUCUCAUUUCGCGGCAUUCGUGCGUUUCUGCGUCAGUGAAGACCUUGAGUUCUUGCCGGCGUCCCGGUAUACCGGGUUGUUGUGGGCACAGUACCUGGCUGCCCGUGGUUCUGUUCGGGCUCGCACCGCGCAGCCCUACUUCAGCGCGGUUAAUACAGUGCACGAUUUGUUAGGGCUGGCUAAGCCGUGUGAUGGGGAUAAUGUGCUGUUGUCGGCGUUCCGUAAGGGCUGGGAGCGGCUGCAGGUCUCACUGGCCCCUACCUCGUCCCUUGUCCUCGCCUUCAGUGCUUCGGACGCCUGGAGGCUAUACGACCGGCUCCCGUCCGUCCCGGUUGCGUCGGAUUUGUUUGUCCCUCUUUUGUUCGUCGUCCUUGGCUUCUGUCUAUUUUUGCGUCCCGACUCCUUGCUGUCUGUCGUCUGGGCGCGGGUUUCGGUUGUUGAUGAGGAGCCUGUGUUUCAGUACAAGCCUUUGCACUGGAAAGGCCAAAAGAGGAAUUGCCAAAGUCUGUAAUGGGUGUGGUGUAAUUUGUGUGGAGCGUUGAUGGAAGGAAGGUCGUUAGAUGCAUUUCAAUGCCGUACAUGUUUAUAAUGCGACUUGAAGAAUUGGACGUAAUGUUGCGAAAAGGAAUGGUCGAGAGGAAUAUAGGGUGCUUGUUCAGAAGUGGUGGACGAUACAGUUUUUUAAUAAUUUUCCGCGGCUGAGGUAAUCGCUCACUUGAAUGCCACGAGAAAUGUAUGAAAUGACGGGCAUAUCAGGGAUGUAAUUGGUGUGUCGCGCUGAAACAAGGGCAGGACAUUCUAACAAGAAAUGCCUGUUAUUCCAAGUCGUCUGCUGCUGGUUACCCUAGCGGACACGCUAGACGUGCUGCGUCUUCUGAGUCAGCAGCCAUUACACUUUUGCCAGGCUGGGCAACAUGCAGUCGUAUUCGACACGUUGUGAUGAGUAUAACGUAAAGGAAUAGCAAUUGGUUCAUGGGCUGUUACACCAUUUGCGGCACAUAUUCAUAAAGGACGAGUACCGAGUGUGACCCUGCCGUAAAAAUUAGCGCAGCGGCUGGUUUGUGGCUUGAGCCGCCACGCCAGCUGUGAUGAAUAGUCAGUCUGUGUCAACACAACACUGAUGCGAAAAUAUUCCGAACCGAAUUAAGUAAGAGCCGCGCGAGAGGCGCCACCAAGAAUGGGUAACACGGGCGCCACNNNNNNNNNNNNNNNNNNNNNNNNNNNNNNNNNNNNNNNNNNNNNNNNNNUCACGUUCGACCGGGGGAGGGGGGUCGAGCCGCUUCCUGCCGCCCCCGCAGUGGCAGGUGGUGGCGGUACGAGUGCAGUGAUCGACUGGGCCCUCCUGCGCGGCACACGCAGUGGUUCUGCCCCGGUUCCCCGUUAUGCAUUAGACUUUCGUGCUGCGGCUGCUCCCCCGGUUGUCACGAACCUGUUAGUGAAGCAGCUGCAGGCCGCCGCCCCAGGUCAGGACCACUCGGCUCGCCUGGAGCAGAUUGCGGCCGUCAUUGUGUCUCGAGUAGGCUCCAAGACUUGGCAAUCGUAUGCGUCUCAUUUCGCGGCAUUCGUGCGUUUCUGCGUCAGUGAAGACCUUGAGUUCUUGCCGGCGUCCCGGUAUACCGGGUUGUUGUGGGCACAGUACCUGGCUGCCCGUGGUUCUGUUCGGGCUCGCACCGCGCAGCCCUACUUCAGCACGGUUAAUACAGUGCACGAUUUGUUAGGGCUGGCUAAGCCGUGU
RNAcentral lists this long non-coding RNA (2209 nucleotides) under Volvox carteri. Its description in RNAcentral is "long non-coding RNA (VCAR_LNC003306)". The record is from RNAcentral. Lineage: Eukaryota; Viridiplantae; Chlorophyta; Chlorophyceae; Chlamydomonadales; Volvocaceae.